Molecule: small nuclear RNA, 177 nt
Filed under: Ictidomys tridecemlineatus (thirteen-lined ground squirrel)
Lineage: Eukaryota; Metazoa; Chordata; Mammalia; Rodentia; Sciuridae
Description: Spermophilus tridecemlineatus (thirteen-lined ground squirrel) U2 spliceosomal RNA
Rfam family: U2 spliceosomal RNA
About the family: U2 is a small nuclear RNA (snRNA) component of the spliceosome (involved in pre-mRNA splicing). Complementary binding between U2 snRNA (in an area lying towards the 5' end but 3' to hairpin I) and the branchpoint sequence (BPS) of the intron results the bulging out of an unpaired adenosine, on the BPS, which initiates a nucleophilic attack at the intronic 5' splice site, thus starting the first of two transesterification reactions that mediate splicing.
Source: Rfam by way of RNAcentral
AUCUCUUCUCAGUCUUUUGGCUAAGAUCAAGUGUGGAAUCUUUCUUUCCUCAUUAGGCAGGAUGAGUAGGAAUUAUGCACUCUCUUUAGAAAAUGUAUUUCUUGUGGUCAAUGGAAAAAAAUCUUAUUCUAUAAUGGUCAAUGGAAAAAAAUCUUAUUCUAUAAUGGUUGUACUGUA